RNAcentral lists this transfer RNA (67 nucleotides) under Lucifotychus sp. 1 EF-2015. Its description in RNAcentral is "tRNA-Leu". It matches the Rfam family "tRNA". From Rfam's summary of the family: Transfer RNA (tRNA) molecules are approximately 80 nucleotides in length. Their secondary structure includes four short double-helical elements and three loops (D, anti-codon, and T loops). Further hydrogen bonds mediate the characteristic L-shaped molecular structure. tRNAs have two regions of fundamental functional importance: the anti-codon, which is responsible for specific mRNA codon recognition, and the 3' end, to which the tRNAs corresponding amino acid is attached (by aminoacyl-tRNA synthetases). tRNAs cope with the degeneracy of the genetic code in two manners: having more than one tRNA (with a specific anti-codon) for a particular amino acid; and 'wobble' base-pairing, i.e. permitting non-standard base-pairing at the 3rd anti-codon position. The record is from RNAcentral. Lineage: Eukaryota; Metazoa; Arthropoda; Insecta; Coleoptera; Staphylinidae.
UCUAAUAUGGCAGAUUAAUGCUAUAGACUUAAACCCUGUACAUAAAGAUUCCACUCUUUUUUUAGAA